This 253-nucleotide ribosomal RNA is filed under the name uncultured bacterium. RNAcentral describes it as "partial 16S ribosomal RNA". It matches the Rfam family "Bacterial small subunit ribosomal RNA", at positions 524 to 776 of the family's 1533-position model. The record is from RNAcentral.
UACGAAGGGGGCUAGCGUUGCUCGGAAUCACUGGGCGUAAAGGGCGCGUAGGCGGCCCUGUUGGUCGGGCGUGAAAUCCCCGGGCUCAACCUGGGAACUGCAUUUGUGACUGCACGGCUGGAGUGCGGCAGAGGGGGAUGGAAUUCCGCGUGUAGCAGUGAAAUGCGUAGAUAUGCGGAGGAACACCGAUGGCGAAGGCAAGCCGCUGGGCCUGCACUGACGCUCAUGCACGAAAGCGUGGGGAGCAAACAGG